CUAGUAACGGCGAGUGAAGCGGGAAGAGCUCAAAUUUAAAAUCUGGCGGUCUAAGGCUGUCCGAGUUGUAAUCUAGAGAGGUGUUUUCCGUGCCGGACCGUGUACAAGUNCCCUUGGANACAGGGNCGUNCAUAGAGGGUGAGAAUCCCGUCCAUGACACGGANCUACCGNNGUGCUCUGUGAUACACCUUCAAAGAGUCGAGUUGUUUGGGAAUGCAGCUCAAAAUGGGUGGUAAAUUCCAUCUAAAGCUAAAUACAGGCGAGAGACCGAUAGCGAACAAGUACCGUGAGGGAAAGAUGAAAAGAACUUUGGAAAGAGAGUUAAACAGUACGUGAAAUUGUUGAAAGGGAAACGCUUGAAGUCAGUCGCGUCUGCCAGGACUCAGCCUUGCUUCNUGCUUGGUGCACUUCUUGGUGGAUGGGCCNAGCAUCGAUUUUGGUCGCCGGAAAAGGGCGGGAGGNAAUGUGGCAGCUUNNNNGCUGUGUUAUAGCCUCUCGUCGUANCACGGUGGCUGGGAUCGAGGACUGCAGCACGCCUUUNNGGUCNGGGGUUCGCCCNACGCCNANCGUGCUUAGGAUGCUGGCGUAAUGGCUUUAAACGACCCGUCUUGAAACACGGACCAAGGAGUCUAACAUGCCUGCGAGUGUUUGGGUGUUNAAACCCAGGCGCGUAAUGAAAGUGAAAAGUUGGGACUCUUUAGUNNNNNGAGGCACCGACGCCCNGAUCCUGAAGUUCUCUGACGGAUUUGAGGCAGAGCAUGUAUGUUGGGACCCGAAAGAUGGUGAACUAUGCCUGAAUAGGGUGAAGCCAGANGGAAACUCUGGUGGAGGCUCGUAGCGAUUCUGACGUGCAAAUCGAUCGUCAAAUUUNGGGUAUA
This 878-nucleotide ribosomal RNA is filed under the name Adustochaete interrupta. RNAcentral's name for it is "partial large subunit ribosomal RNA". It matches the Rfam family "Eukaryotic large subunit ribosomal RNA", at positions 80 to 919 of the family's 3401-position model. Lineage: Eukaryota; Fungi; Basidiomycota; Agaricomycetes; Auriculariales; Exidiaceae. The record is from RNAcentral.